RNAcentral lists this long non-coding RNA (2057 nucleotides) under Homo sapiens (human). RNAcentral's name for it is "non-protein coding lnc-BRD1-7:1". Lineage: Eukaryota; Metazoa; Chordata; Mammalia; Primates; Hominidae. The record is from RNAcentral.
GUGCAGCAGAGAGCUGGGCGAUGAGCCGGGUGGGGUGGGGGUCAGCCUGCUCCAGGCAGGGGAGGCAGACAGCACCCCGGCCAGGGACAGAGCUGGUGCACCCGGCACGCGUGUAGUGACGUGCAGCCGCUGCGUGACGGGAGACGGAGCCCACCGCCCCUCCGGGGAGCUCUUCCCCCAAACCCACCAUGUUGGUCUCACCAGGAGAAAGCAUUAGAGAGUACAAGGUUUUAUAAAAUCCGUGACCAGAAUCCAAUCUUGACAAUUUCUCAUUCUUUUACUUUAUUGAAAAUUUCUCCAUCUUUUUAUUUUCUUUUUUGGCCAACUUUUCAGUCUUUCUAUUAAAAUAAUCACCUCCAGUUGUCAGAGUUUGGAGGAUGCGGUGAGGAGACCCGGUGACCACACGCAGUGUGAUAUCCUGGGACAGAAGGAGGACGCUGAGGGAAACCCAAGUCCGAAUCAAGCCUUUCAUUCAGCUCGUCACAUGGUAUCACCGUGAAUUUCUCAGAGCCACAGACGACUUAAUAAGCACAUCAAUGUGAGCUGCGUUAGCAGAGGGGGAGCGGGUGACAGGCAUGUGGACGCUCGCUGUGGCGUCUCUUCAGCUCUUCUGUAAAUCUAAAAUUAUUUCAAGACACAAAGCAAAACAAGUAAUACUUCCAAGCCUCUAUUUCAGUGAUCUAUAUUUGCAGCAUUAAUGAGCUACAAGAAAAACAACAUGAAAAAGUCCAGCCGAUGAAGCGUCGGGGACACUCUUGGGGCCUUCCUGAGUGUGGUGGGGAAUGAAGCGUGACUGAAGGACAAACCCCCUCAAAGCCGAGCUGCUGUGGACCCCGGGCUCUAAAGUCCCUGAUACACCGGCUGCACCUCUCCAGGCCACAGCCUCUGUCCCACCUGGGCUCCAUCUGUGGGCUCAGGGGUCACCCAGGCCAGGCCCGUCUGGGUUCCCUGGAGCCUUACCCUAUAGUACAUGGCCACCAUAGCUGAGGGAACCCACGUGUGGGGGAUGGAUUUCCAGGCUGGAAGCCUCCGGCAAUGCUGUCCACCUGGUGGGUCCCCUUCUGUGUGUCUGCCUUUCCCUGUGACAGCUCUGGCCAUGUCACCGACAAACACCUCUGGGUCUCGGCCGCCGCCACACGCUCCUGCGCACCGCCCACCUGGAGGCACCACCCCAGAGACACGAGCCUCGUUCUUCUGAAGAGCCGUAGUCUACACCUUUAUUUUAUUCCGGAGAGUCAUUAAAGGGAACCAAAUCCGUAUCGGGGCAAUGUCUGCUUUGGGGCCCAGUGUCCCCCCAGUUUGUCAGAUAGCCGUGCUUCUGCGUCGCUGCCUCCUCCACCCUAAAAUCUCAGCCGAGGAGGCCCAGGAGGACACUUGGAAUAUGCAGAGGGGGAGACGUGGACGAGGGAUGACCAACAAACCAAUAAAACCCUGACCUGGAGGCGAAGGUUCUAAACACGGAGUGGGGAGUCACCGGUGUGGGGUCUCCUUCACAAGCGGCCUUCGAAAUCAGAAGAGAUUCCUUCCCUGCUUAUGCCAGGGGAACUAAGAAUCAGCCCACAGGCAGUGGAUUGGCCAAAGUGACCUUUCAGGACGCUGGCCUUGUGCCUCUAACAUCUCCCGAAGAGCUGAUGAAGCCGAGCCACUUGCUGUUGUGUGUUGAAAAUGGUGCAAGACCCUACACAAUCAUCCCUGAACCCAUAAUGCUGAUGCUCUGAUGUAAAAGGAAUAUUUUCCCCUUGAGAUAAAAUGCCAUCAGAUGCCAUCUGUGCCGCCUGUAAUUUUAGCCAUAAAUCCUCGUUGUAUUUAUUGGAGAUUUGUUUUUCAAGAUGGCUAAUUUUAGUCUCCAAUUCAACCGCACACUAAUUUUCUUGUUUCUUUCUUGCUGAGAAAUCUGAUAUAACAGCUCCUCAUAGAAAGGGCUUGGCAGGUUUCCAAAGCCCAACAGCCUCAUUUACUUAGAGAGAGGUUAUUUUUUCUUUCUUCCUCUCUCCCCUCUCCCUCCUUGUUUUGGUAGCACGGUUAGAAUUCAGAAGGGUUGAAAUAAAAACAGGAUU